RNAcentral lists this transfer RNA (81 nucleotides) under Paragonimus heterotremus. It matches the Rfam family "tRNA". From Rfam's summary of the family: Transfer RNA (tRNA) molecules are approximately 80 nucleotides in length. Their secondary structure includes four short double-helical elements and three loops (D, anti-codon, and T loops). The record is from Rfam by way of RNAcentral. Lineage: Eukaryota; Metazoa; Platyhelminthes; Trematoda; Plagiorchiida; Troglotrematidae.
GGCUUCGUAGCUCAGCUAGUAGAGCGCUUGCCGCGUAAAGGCAUUGUGUUUCGGUCGCUGGUUCGAAUCCAGCCGAAGCCC